Molecule: non-coding RNA, 83 nt
Organism: Crucibulum laeve
Lineage: Eukaryota; Fungi; Basidiomycota; Agaricomycetes; Agaricales; Nidulariaceae
Source: the annotation of a GenBank genome assembly
ACACCGAUGGUGAAGCGGUUAUCAUGCUUGCCUUCCAGAGAUCUCAUUAGCAAGCGGCAGGGGUUCGACUCCCCUUCGGUGUA